AACGCACAUUGCGCCCAUCAGUAUUCUGGUGGGCAUGCCUGUUCGAGCGCCAUUUCAACCCUUAAGCCUCAGUUGCUUAGCGUUGGGGGCCUACCACGGUAGCCCCUGAAAGCCAUUGGCGGAGUCGGUCGCACACUCCGGACGCAGUACAUCUAUUCUCGUCCUGGGUCACGGCCGGUCCCCUGCCGUAAAACACACCAAACUUUUCAAUGGUUGGCCUCGAAUCAGGUAGGAAUACCCGCUGAACUUAA
This 251-nucleotide unclassified non-coding RNA is filed under the name uncultured fungus. RNAcentral's name for it is "partial contains 5.8S ribosomal RNA, internal transcribed spacer 2, and large subunit ribosomal RNA". Lineage: Eukaryota; Fungi. The record is from RNAcentral.